Pan troglodytes (chimpanzee) is the source of this 1210-nucleotide long non-coding RNA. Lineage: Eukaryota; Metazoa; Chordata; Mammalia; Primates; Hominidae. The record is from Ensembl.
GCUCACUGCAACCUCGGCCUCCUGGGCAGUCUAUUUCAAGGUGCAAACUCCGCCUCCUGGGCGGCCUAUUUCAAGGUGGAAGCCCCGCCUCCCAGGCAGCUUAUUUCAAGGUGGAAGCCCCGCCUUCUACGCCUAUUUCAAGGCGCAAGCCCCGCCUCCCGGGCGGCCUAUUACAAGGUGCAAGCUCCACCUCCCGGGCAGCCUAUUUCAAGGUGCAAGCUCCGCCUCCCAGGCGGCCUGUUUCAAGGUGCAAACUCCGCCUCCUAGGCCUAUUUAAAGGCGCAAGCCCUGCCUCCCGGGCGGCCUAUAUCAAGGUGCAAGCUCUGCCUCCCAGGCAGCCUAUUUCAAGGUGCAAGCCCCGCCUCCUAGCCCUAUUUCAAGGCGCAAGCCCCGCCUCCUGGGUAGCCUAUUUCAAGGUGCAAACUCCGCCUCCUAGGCCUAUUUAAAGGCGCAAGCCCCGCCUCCCGGGCGGCCUAUUUCAAGGUGCAAGCCCCGCCUCCUAGCCCUAUUUCAACGUGCAAGCCCCGCCUCCCAGGCAGCUUAUUUCAAGGUGCAAGCUCCGCCUCCCAGGCGGCCUAUAUCAAGGCGCAAGCCCCGCCUCCCGGACGGCCUAUAUCAAGGUGCAAGCCCCGCCUCCCGGGCGGCCUAUUACAAGGUGCAAGCUCCACCUCCCGGGCGGCCUAUUUCAAGGUGCAAGCUCCGCCUCCCAGGCGGCCUAUUUCAAGGUGCAAGCUCCGCCUCCCAGGCGGCCUAUUUCAAGGUGCAAGCCCCGCCUCCCAGGCGGCCUAUAUCAAGGCGCAAGCCCCGCCUCCCGGACGGCCUAUUUAAAGGCGCAAGCCCCGCCUCCCAGGCAGCCUAUUUCAAGGCGCAAGCCCCGCCUCCCGGACGGCCUAUUUCAAGGCGCAAGCCCCACCUCCAGGGCGGCCUAUUUCAAGGCGCAAGCUCCACCUCCCGGGCGGCCUAUUUCAAGGUGCAAGCCCCGCCUCCCGGGCGGCCUAUUUCAAGGUGCAAGCCCCGCCUCCCAGGCAGCCAGAGCAGCUUAUUUCAAGGGCACACAGCACACCUGAGGACGGCCCUAUUUCACAUAGACACACGCCUCCGCGGAGCGGCCUACAUAUCAAGGCGCAAGCCCCGCCUCCUGGACGCCCUACUUAAAGGCCAAAGCCCCGCCUCCAGGCAGCCUAUUUCAAGGUGCAAGCUCCACCUUCCG